This is a non-coding RNA of Candidatus Burkholderia humilis, 122 nucleotides long. Lineage: Bacteria; Pseudomonadati; Pseudomonadota; Betaproteobacteria; Burkholderiales; Burkholderiaceae. The record is from Rfam.
GUCGUCGCGAGGCGGGGUCUGAAGGAAGCGUGUAGCAAAGCCCAGCAAUGUCCCGCCUGAAUGUAGCUUUGUGCCUUUGCCACGGCCUGAUGCGCCGAGCGUCCUGGGCGGAAGCCAUAACU